This 253-nucleotide ribosomal RNA is filed under the name uncultured bacterium. Its description in RNAcentral is "partial 16S ribosomal RNA". It matches the Rfam family "Bacterial small subunit ribosomal RNA", at positions 524 to 776 of the family's 1533-position model. The record is from RNAcentral.
UACGUAGGGAGCAAGCGUUGUCCGGAAUCAUUGGGCGUAAAGCGCGCGUAGGCGGCCUCAUAAGUCCGUUGUGAAAGUCAAAGGCUCAACCUUUGAAAGCCGAUGGAUACUGUGAGGCUAGAGUCCGGAAGAGGCGAGUGGAAUUCCUGGUGUAGCGGUGGAAUGCGCAGAUAUCAGGAGGAACACCGAUGGCGAAGGCAGGUCUCUGGGCAUUAACUGACGCUGAGGAGCGAAAGCAUGGGGAGCGAACAGG